RNAcentral lists this ribosomal RNA (497 nucleotides) under uncultured Paenibacillus sp. RNAcentral's name for it is "partial 16S ribosomal RNA". Lineage: Bacteria; Bacillati; Bacillota; Bacilli; Caryophanales; Paenibacillaceae. The record is from RNAcentral.
CACGUAGUUAGCCGGGGCUUUCUUCUCCUAUACCGUCACACAAAGCGCAGUUACUCGCCUUGCUGUUCGUCUAGGGCAACAGAGCUUUACGAUCCGAAAACCUUCAUCACUCACGCGGCGUUGCUCCGUCAGACUUGCGUCCAUUGCGGAAGAUUCCCCUACUGCUGCCUCCCGUAGGAGUCUGGGCCGUGUCUCAGUCCCAGUGUGGCCGUUCACCCUCUCAGGUCGGCUACGCAUCGUCGCCUUGGUGAGCCGUUACCUCACCAACUAGCUAAUGCGCCGCAGGCCCAUCUUUAAAGCCACAGAUUGCUCCGUGUUUUAUGAUUCUCUCAUGCGAGAAAACCCAGUUAUCCGGUCUUAGCUAUCGUUUCCGAUAGUUAUCCCAGUCUUAAAGGCAGGUUACCUACGUGUUACUCACCCGUCCGCCGCUAGCUUGUCCCGAAGGACAAGCCCGCUCGACUUGCAUGUAUUAGGCACGCCGCCAGCGUCGUCUCGUG